GACGAACGCUGGCGGCGUGCCUAAUACAUGCAAGUAGAACGCUGAAGGAGGAGCUUGCUUCUCUGGAUGAGUUGCGAACGGGUGAGUAACGCGUAGGUAACCUGCCUGGUAGCGGGGGAUAACUAUUGGAAACGAUAGCUAAUACCGCAUAAUAGUAGAUGUUGCAUGACAUUUGCUUAAAAGGUGCAAUUGCAUCACUACCAGAUGGACCUGCGUUGUAUUAGCUAGUUGGUGGGGUAACGGCUCACCAAGGCGACGAUACAUAGCCGACCUGAGAGGGUGAUCGGCCACACUGGGACUGAGACACGGCCCAGACUCCUUCGGGAGGCAGCAGUAGGGAAUCUUCGGCAAUGGACGGAAGUCUGACCGAGCAACGCCGCGUGAGUGAAGAAGGUUUUCGGAUCGUAAAGCCCUGUUGUAAGAGAAGAACGAGUGUGAGAGUGGAAAGUUCACACURURACGKAUCUUACCAGAAAGGACGGCUAACUACGUGC
RNAcentral lists this ribosomal RNA (494 nucleotides) under uncultured Streptococcus sp. RNAcentral describes it as "bacterial SSU rRNA". It matches the Rfam family "Bacterial small subunit ribosomal RNA", at positions 28 to 508 of the family's 1533-position model. The record is from RNAcentral. Lineage: Bacteria; Bacillati; Bacillota; Bacilli; Lactobacillales; Streptococcaceae.